RNAcentral lists this ribosomal RNA (646 nucleotides) under uncultured Prevotella sp. RNAcentral describes it as "bacterial SSU rRNA". It matches the Rfam family "Bacterial small subunit ribosomal RNA", at positions 70 to 715 of the family's 1533-position model. The record is from RNAcentral. Lineage: Bacteria; Pseudomonadati; Bacteroidota; Bacteroidia; Bacteroidales; Prevotellaceae.
AAGCUUGCUUUUGAUGGGCGUCGACCGGCGCACGGGUGAGUAACGCGUAUCCCUUUUGGCCACCACUUGGGGAUAACCUUGCGAAAGUAAGACCAUUACCCAAUGACGUCUCUAGAAGACAUCUGAAGGAGAUUAAAGAUUUAUCGGUGAUGGAUGGGGAUGCGUCUGAUUAGCUUGUUGGCGGGGUAACGGCCCACCAAGGCGACGAUCAGUAGGGGUUCUGAGAGGAAGGUCCCCCACAUUGGAACUGAGACACGGUCCAAACUCCUACGGGAGGCAGCAGUGAGGAAUAUUGGUCAAUGGACGAGAGUCUGAACCAGCCAAGUAGCGUGCAGGAUGACGGCCCUAUGGGUUGUAAACUGCUUUUAUAAGGGAAUAAAGUGAGUCUCGUGAGACUUUUUGCAUGUACCUUAUGAAUAAGGACCGGCUAAUUCCGUGCCAGCAGCCGCGGUAAUACGGAAGGUCCGGGCGUUAUCCGGAUUUAUUGGGUUUAAAGGGAGCGUAGGCCGGAGAUUAAGCGUGUUGUGAAAUGUAGAUGCUCAACAUCUGAACUGCAGCGCGAACUGGUUUCCUUGAGUACGCACAAAGUGGGCGGAAUUCGUGGUGUAGCGGUGAAAUGCUUAGAUAUCACGAAGAACUCCGAUUG